GGAGACGUGGCUGAGUGGUCGAAAGCGCUCCCCUGCUAAGGGAGUAUACUGGCAACGGUAUCGAGGGUUCGAAUCCCUUCGUCUCCG
RNAcentral lists this transfer RNA (87 nucleotides) under Kordiimonas lacus. RNAcentral describes it as "Kordiimonas sp. S3-22 tRNA". It matches the Rfam family "tRNA". From Rfam's summary of the family: Transfer RNA (tRNA) molecules are approximately 80 nucleotides in length. Lineage: Bacteria; Pseudomonadati; Pseudomonadota; Alphaproteobacteria; Kordiimonadales; Kordiimonadaceae. The record is from Rfam by way of RNAcentral.